GUAGGGAAUAUUGGGCAAUGGAUGCAAGUCUGACCCAGCCAUCCCGCGUGCCGGAAGAAGGCCCUCAGGGUUGUAAACGGCUUUUGACGGUGAAGAAUCGACAGGAUGCGUCCUGUUUUGACGGUAGCCGUUGAAUAAGCACCGGCUAACUCCGUGCCAGCAGCCGCGGUAAUACGGAGGGUGCGAGCGUUGUCCGGAUUUAUUGGGUUUAAAGGGUGCGUAGGCUGGAAGGUCAGUCAGCGGUGAAAAGCUGUCGCUUAACGAUAGUCUUGCCGCAGAUACUUCCUUUCUUGGAUGAGGAGGAGGCCACUGGAACGGAUGGUGUAGCGGCGAAAUGCAUAGAUAUCAUCCAGAACACCGAUUGCGAAGGCAGGUGGCUGUACCUUAAUCGACGCUGAUGCACGAAAGCAUGGGGAGCAAACAGGAUUAGAAACCCGGGUAGUCC
This 445-nucleotide ribosomal RNA is filed under the name uncultured bacterium. RNAcentral's name for it is "partial 16S ribosomal RNA". It matches the Rfam family "Bacterial small subunit ribosomal RNA", at positions 354 to 796 of the family's 1533-position model. The record is from RNAcentral.